RNAcentral lists this ribosomal RNA (253 nucleotides) under uncultured bacterium. RNAcentral describes it as "partial 16S ribosomal RNA". It matches the Rfam family "Bacterial small subunit ribosomal RNA", at positions 1249 to 1500 of the family's 1533-position model. The record is from RNAcentral.
GCGACCACGCGAGUGUGAGCGAAUCUCAAAAAUAACGUCUCAGUUCGGAUUGUAGUCUGCAACUCGACUACAUGAAGCUGGAAUCGCUAGUAAUCGCGGAUCAGAAUGCCGCGGUGAAUACGUUCCCGGGUCUUGUACACACCGCCCGUCACACCAUGAGAGCCGAUAACACCCGAAGCCUGUGAGCUAACCGGUAAGGGGGCAGCAGUCGAAGGUGGGGUUGGUGAUUGGGGUGAAGUCGUAACAAGGUAAC